Long non-coding RNA from Camelus dromedarius (Arabian camel), 1279 nucleotides. RefSeq lists it as uncharacterized. The transcript is spliced from 4 exons. NCBI's taxonomy places the organism in Eukaryota, Metazoa, Chordata, Mammalia, Artiodactyla, Camelidae. The record is from RefSeq and is a predicted model, not a curated record.
UAUAUUGUUUUAUAUAUUUCAUAUAAGAUUUCGCUUGGAAUAAAAAUGGCUUCUGGGGCUAAAUGUGUAAUUUUGAAAACAAUUGUAAAUGAAAAAAAUGGAUUCCUUAUCUUGCUUUUUUAACUUAAAACUUAUUUCUUUUGUAAACAUUCUCAGCACAUUAGUGUACCAUCAAGUUUCUAACCUGGAAAAUAGAGAUUUAGAAGUCAACAGGAUAUGAUGGAAGGCAUGAAACAUCAAUAAGAUUGCUCAGCAAUAAUCUGUGUGAGGGUAGCCCGAGACGAGGAGCAGGCCAAGGAGUAGGCAGAAGAGAAGAAUGGAAAGAAGACAGAAGGAGUUGUCAGAGAGGUAGGAGGUAACAUUACACAACUUCUGUAAUGUUAAAGAAGCAAAAGGUGUCAGUGCUGCAGAGAUGUCACAUCCAAUGACAUAAAAGAAUCCACCGAACUCGGCCGUAAGGAGAAAUGUUAAGUAGUAUCUGAGGCUGCAAGCUUCCCAUCAAGAUAAGACAAGUGGGAUCUAAGUAAAGAUUCAUGGACCUUACUUUCUGCAGUAUUCUUGGACCAAAGGCAGUGGAACUAGAGCUCUUCCUGAUAGCCCUUGAGGAACCUGCAAGGAUCUAGCAAGAAGAGGUUUUAUAUCUUGUGACUCCACUGCAGCUCUGUGAUGGAGAAAUGAAGUCAUCAAGUCAUCAAUAUUGAAAUGUAACAUAGAAAUAAUUUAAUGUAAUAUAUGUGCUGCUAUUGUUCUGGGCAUGGAGCAAAAUCAAACUGAUCUCUGCAUCCCUCCCUCUAGGAACUCAUGUUAAAUAUGGGUAAAAGGAAGUGUGCUAAGCUUUAGUUCAACAAUCUUUGGCUUCCAAACAGAAUUCUCUAAUUUUUGAGGGUGGUGGUGGUGGUAAUUAGGUUUGUUUGUUUGUUUGUUUGUUUACAAUGGAGUUACUGGGAAUUGAACUCAGGACCUCAUGCAUGCUAAGCAUGCACUCCACCACUAAGCUAUACCCCUCUCCACCCAGAAUUCUUCUAAAUAGAAUUAGAGGUACUGAUAUGAAUCAGUUAAUCUACAUGUGCUAUGGGGUCUGGGUUCUGUAGAUUAUCAUGUCACUUCUUCUCUUGGUCCUCAGACACCAUGGUCCAAGAUCAGCUGGUUCACUAUUGGUGCUGAUUCCCAGGUCUGAAUCCUGGGGAAUUGGGAGUUGAUUGUUUCUCUAAGAGUAAUUUUCAUCUCUGAAACGUUAGCCUUUCCACCUUCAACCUGCUGUGACAUGACUUUUAUUUUC